RNAcentral lists this ribosomal RNA (449 nucleotides) under uncultured bacterium. RNAcentral describes it as "partial 16S ribosomal RNA". It matches the Rfam family "Bacterial small subunit ribosomal RNA", at positions 29 to 523 of the family's 1533-position model. The record is from RNAcentral.
AACGAACGCUGGCGGCAUGCCUAACACAUGCAAGUCGAACGAGAUCUUCGGGUCUAGUGGCGCACGGGUGCGUAACGCGUGGGAAUCUGCCCUUUGGUUCGGAAUAACAGUUGGAAACGACUGCUAAUACCGGAUGAUGACGAAAGUCCAAAGAUUUAUCGCCAGAGGAUGAGCCCGCGUAGGAUUAGCUAGUUGGUGUGGUAAAGGCGCACCAAGGCGACGAUCCUUAGCUGGUCUGAGAGGAUGAUCAGCCACACUGGGACUGAGACACGGCCCAGACUCCUACGGGAGGCAGCAGUGGGAAAUAUUGGACAAUGGGCGAAAGCCUGAUCCAGCAAUGCCGCGUGAGUGAUGAAGGCCUUAGGGUUGUAAAGCUCUUUUACCCGGGAUGAUAAUGACAGUACCGGGAGAACAAGCUCCGGCUAACUCCGUGCCAGCAGCCGCCGCCG